This 451-nucleotide ribosomal RNA is filed under the name uncultured bacterium. RNAcentral describes it as "partial 16S ribosomal RNA". It matches the Rfam family "Bacterial small subunit ribosomal RNA", at positions 354 to 796 of the family's 1533-position model. The record is from RNAcentral.
GUGGGGAAUAUUGGACAAUGGGGGGAACCCUGAUCCAGCCAUGCCGCGUGUGUGAAGAAGGCCUUUUGGUUGUAAAGCACUUUAAGCGAGGAGGAGGCUACCGAGAUUAAUACUCUUGGAUAGUGGACGUUACUCGCAGAAUAAGCACCGGCUAACUCUGUGCCAGCAGCCGCGGUAAUACAGAGGGUGCGAGCGUUAAUCGGAUUUACUGGGCGUAAAGCGUGCGUAGGCGGCUUUUUAAGUCGGAUGUGAAAUCCCCGAGCUUAACUUGGGAAUUGCAUUCGAUACUGGGAAGCUAGAGUAUGGGAGAGGAUGGUAGAAUUCCAGGUGUAGCGGUGAAAUGCGUAGAGAGCUGGAGGAAUACCGAUGGCGAAGGCAGCCAUCUGGCCUAAUACUGACGCUGAGGUACGAAAGCAUGGGGAGCAAACAGGAUUAGAUACCCCAGUAGUCC